UUAGAGUUUGAUCCUGGCUCAGGAUGAACGCUAGCGGCAGGCUUAAUACAUGCAAGUCGAACGGCAGCGGGUCCAGCAAUGGAUGCCGGCGAGUGGCGCACGGGUGCGUAACACGUAUGCAACCUACCUUUAACCGGGACAUAACCUCGAGAAAUCGUGGCUAAUAUUCCAUAAUAUCUUUGAAUCGCAUGGUUUGAAGAUCAAAAUUCCGAUGGUUUUAGAUGGGCAUGCGCGACAUUAGCUAGUUGGUGAGGUAAUGGCUCACCAAGGCUACGAUGUUUAGGGGGUCUGAGAGGAUGAUCCCCCACACUGGUACUGAGACACGGACCAGACUCCUACGGGAGGCAGCAGUAAGGAAUAUUGGGCAAUGGGCGCAAGCCUGACCCAGCCAUGCCGCGUGCAGGAUGACAGCCCUACGGGUUGUAAACUGCUUUUAUACGGGAAAAAACCCUCUGACGUGUCAGAGGCUGAUGGUACCGUAAGAAUAAGCAUCGGCUAACUCCGUGCCAGCAGCCGCGGUAAUACGGAGGAUGCAAGCGUUAUCCGGAUUUACUGGGUUUAAAGGGUGCGCAGGCGGAACGACAAGUCAGUGGUGAAAUCUCCUGGCUCAACCAGGAAACUGCCAUUGAUACUAUCGUUCUUGAGUCCAGUUGAAGUAGGCGGAAUGCAACAUGUAGCGGUGAAAUGCUUAAAUAUGCUACAGAACACCGAUAGCAAAGGCCGCUUACUAAACUGAAACUGACGCUCAUGCACGAAAGCGUGGGGGAUCAAACAGGAUUAGAUACCCUGGUAGUCCACGCCCUAAACGAUGAUCACUCGUUGUUGGCAACUAUAUCGUCAGCGACUAAGCGAAAGCAUUAAGUGAUCCACCCGGGGAGUACGAUCGCAAGGUUGAAACUCAAAGGAAUUGACGGGGGCCCGCACAAGCGGAGGAGCAUGUGGUUUAAUUCGAUGCAACGCGAAGAACCUUACCAGGUCUUGACAUCCAAAGAAUCCUGAUGAAAGUCGGGAGUGCCUUAGGGAGCUUUGAGACAGGUGGUGCAUGGUUGUCGUCAGCUCGUGUCGUGAGAUGUUGGGUUAAGUCCCGCAACGAGCGCAACCCCCGCUAUUAGUUGCUAACAUUCAGUUGAGCACUCUAAUGGGACUGCCCGUGACAAGCGGGAGGAAGGUGGGGAGGACGUCAAAUCAUCAUGCCCUUUAUGAUCUGGGCUACACACGUGCUACAAUGGAUGGUACAGAGAGCAGCGAGACAGUGAUGUGGAGCGAAUCUCAAAAAGCCAUUCUCAGUUCGGAUUGCAGGCUGCAACUCGCCUGCAUGAAGUCGGAAUCGCUAGUAAUCGCGGAUCAGCAUGUCGCGGCGA
RNAcentral lists this ribosomal RNA (1361 nucleotides) under uncultured bacterium. RNAcentral describes it as "bacterial SSU rRNA". It matches the Rfam family "Bacterial small subunit ribosomal RNA", at positions 1 to 1365 of the family's 1533-position model. The record is from RNAcentral.